Molecule: ribosomal RNA, 356 nt
Filed under: uncultured Clostridium sp.
Lineage: Bacteria; Bacillati; Bacillota; Clostridia; Eubacteriales; Clostridiaceae
Description: bacterial SSU rRNA
Rfam family: Bacterial small subunit ribosomal RNA
Source: RNAcentral
UAAAGCUCUGUCUUCAGGGACGAUAAUGACGGUACCUGAGGAGGAAGCCACGGCUAACUACGUGCCAGCAGCCGCGGUAAUACGUAGGUGGCAAGCGUUGUCCGGAUUUACUGGGCGUAAAGGGAGCGUAGGUGGAUAUUUAAGUGGGAUGUGAAAUACUCGGGCUUAACCUGGGUGCUGCAUUCCAAACUGGAUAUCUAGAGUGCAGGAGAGGAAAGUAGAAUUCCUAGUGUAGCGGUGAAAUGCGUAGAGAUUAGGAAGAAUACCAGUGGCGAAGGCGACUUUCUGGACUGUAACUGACACUGAGGCUCGAAAGCGUGGGGAGCAAACAGGAUUAGAUACCCUGGGGUAGUCAA